UGGCGGACGGGUGAGUAAUGUCUGGGAAACUGCCUGAUGGAGGGGGAUAACUACUGGAAACGGUAGCUAAUACCGCAUAACGUCGAAAGACCAAAGAGGGGGACCUUCGGGCCUCUUGCCAUCGGAUGUGCCCAGAUGGGAUUAGCUUGUUGGUGGGGUAAUGGCUCACCAAGGCGACGAUCCCUAGCUGGUCUGAGAGGAUGACCAGCCACACUGGAACUGAGACACGGUCCAGACUCCUACGGGAGGCAGCAUG
RNAcentral lists this ribosomal RNA (256 nucleotides) under uncultured bacterium. RNAcentral describes it as "partial 16S ribosomal RNA". It matches the Rfam family "Bacterial small subunit ribosomal RNA", at positions 96 to 353 of the family's 1533-position model. The record is from RNAcentral.